Molecule: ribosomal RNA, 465 nt
Filed under: Vreelandella stevensii
Lineage: Bacteria; Pseudomonadati; Pseudomonadota; Gammaproteobacteria; Oceanospirillales; Halomonadaceae
Description: partial 16S ribosomal RNA
Rfam family: Bacterial small subunit ribosomal RNA
Source: RNAcentral
CCUACGGGCGGCAGCAGUGGGGAAUAUUGGACAAUGGGGGCAACCCUGAUCCAGCCAUGCCGCGUGUGUGAAGAAGGCCCUCGGGUUGUAAAGCACUUUCAGUGAGGAAGAACGCCUGGUGGUUAAUACCCAUCAGGAAAGACAUCACUCACAGAAGAAGCACCGGCUAACUCCGUGCCAGCAGCCGCGGUAAUACGGAGGGUGCGAGCGUUAAUCGGAAUUACUGGGCGUAAAGCGCGCGUAGGUGGCUUGAUAAGCCGGUUGUGAAAGCCCCGGGCUCAACCUGGGAACGGCAUCCGGAACUGUGAAGCUAGAGUGCAGGAGAGGAAGGUAGAAUUCCCGGUGUAGCGGUGAAAUGCGUAGAGAUCGGGAGGAAUACCAGUGGCGAAGGCGGCCUUCUGGACUGACACUGACACUGAGGUGCGAAAGCGUGGGUAGCAAACAGGAUUAGAUACCCGUGUAGUC